CCUACGGGAUGCAGCAGUGAGGAAUAUUGGUCAAUGGACGCAAGUCUGAACCAGCCAUGCCGCGUGCAGGAUGACGGCUCUAUGAGUUGUAAACUGCUUUUGUACGAGGGUAAACCCCGAUACGUGUAUCGGGUUGAAAGUAUCGUACGAAUAAGGAUCGGCUAACUCCGUGCCAGCAGCCGCGGUAAUACGGAGGAUCCGAGCGUUAUCCGGAUUUAUUGGGUUUAAAGGGUGCGUAGGCGGUUUGAUAAGUUAGAGGUGAAAUGUCGGGGCUCAACCCCUUCCCGCCAUUGAAACUGGCGUUCUUGAGUGGAAGAGAAGUAUGCGGAAUGCGUGGUGUAGCGGUGAAAUGCAUAGAUAUCACGCAGAACCCCGAUGGCGAAGGCAGCAUGCCGGCUUCCGACUGACGCUGAAGCACGAAAGCGUGGGGAUCGAACAGGAUUAGAUACCCCUGUAGUC
This 459-nucleotide ribosomal RNA is filed under the name uncultured bacterium. Its description in RNAcentral is "partial 16S ribosomal RNA". It matches the Rfam family "Bacterial small subunit ribosomal RNA", at positions 338 to 795 of the family's 1533-position model. The record is from RNAcentral.